This 441-nucleotide ribosomal RNA is filed under the name Aeolidiidae gen. sp. 'japonica'. RNAcentral describes it as "partial 16S ribosomal RNA". It matches the Rfam family "Archaeal large subunit ribosomal RNA", at positions 1904 to 2666 of the family's 2987-position model. The record is from RNAcentral. Lineage: Eukaryota; Metazoa; Mollusca; Gastropoda; Nudibranchia; Aeolidiidae.
AACAUAGCCAUCAGACGAUAUUGUAUGGUUUAACCUGCCCAAUGUUAAAAUAAAUGGCCGCGGUAUCCUGACCGUGCUAAGGUAGCGUAAUCAGUUGACUUUUAAAUGAAGUCAGGAAUGAAUGGAAGAACUGGGUUUGGCUGUCUUAGGGUUAUUUUAUUGAAUUUACUAUUCAGGUGAAAAAGCUUGAGUUUAGAAAAGGGACGAGAAGACCCUUAGAAUUUUUUUGAAGGCUAAUCCUGUUAGCUAUUAUUUUAUUGGGGCGAUAGAGAAAUAUUUAAAACUUUCUUUGAGGAGACACACCGAUUAUAUUAAAAAAGAAGAAAUUACCUGAGGGAUAACAGCAUAAUCUUAUAUUUAGGUUUGUGACCUCGAUGUUGGACUAGGAAACCAGUAGGCUAGCCGUUUACUGUGUUAGGUUCUGUUCGAACUUAUAUUCCU